GAGUUGAACCUAUGGCUUGGGUCCAUCCGUGCAAGUAGUUGAUAUCCUUCAUGAGAUCUUUUCAAAAAAAAUUAUAUUCACAAAGUGCUUUUCGUUUCUUAUAUAUGUGAGCUAUUUGAUUGCCUCAAAAUAUUUUCUCUCACAUAUAAUUGAGUGAUUAUAAGCUUUUAAGCAUUGUCUUGAAUUCUGAGAGAAGAAAGAGUGGAUAUACCUUGUGAGGAUAUGAAUCAUACUUGUUCGAAGCAUGCUUAACAGAAACCAUCACCAUUGUCACAACCAAGUCCUACUUGUGUAUGUGUGGAUUAUAUGUUUUAAUUAACUCUUGAAUAUCUACAUAUUGAUUCUUGGUUGAGUGCUAAUCUUGAUGUUGUGAAAGUAGGAGAUUUCUGAGACAAAAAGUUGAAGGGCAAUAGAGUCAUUGUUUUUGUAGAGUCUUUAAUUUUCGUUGAGUCUUAGUGUGUGUCUUAGUGUGAUUUUGCUAAGGGACUAGCAAAAGCUAAGUGUGGGGGAAUUUGAUAGGAGCAUUUUAAUGCGACGUUUUACUUGCUUUUCCCUACAUUUCUUGCGACCUCCGAGCUAA
Molecule: long non-coding RNA, 580 nt
Filed under: Rosa chinensis
Lineage: Eukaryota; Viridiplantae; Streptophyta; Magnoliopsida; Rosales; Rosaceae
Description: sRNA RchiOBHm_Chr2g0154811
Source: RNAcentral